Molecule: small RNA, 27 nt
Filed under: Bombyx mori (domestic silkworm)
Lineage: Eukaryota; Metazoa; Arthropoda; Insecta; Lepidoptera; Bombycidae
Description: ovarian small RNA-34337
Source: RNAcentral
UGCUUUCACUGUAUCGCUCACAAUGCU